AGCCAUGCAUGUCUAAGUAUAAGCAAUUAUACAGCGAAACUGCGAAUGGCUCAUUAUAUAAGUUAUCGUUUAUUUGAUAGUACCUUACUACUUGGAUAACCGUGGUAAUUCUAGAGCUAAUACAUGCUAAAAAUCCCGACUUCGGAAGGGAUGUAUUUAUUAGAUACAAAACCAAUGCCCCUCGGGGCUCUCUGGUGAUUCAUGAUAACUCGUCGAAUCGCACGGCCUUGCGCCGGCGAUGGUUCAUUCAAAUUUCUUCCCUAUCAACUUUCGAUGUUUGGGUAGUGGCCAAACAUGGUGGCAACGGGUAACGGAGGGUUAGGGCUCGACCCCGGAGAAGGAGCCUGAGAAACGGCUACUACAUCCAAGGAAGGCAGCAGGCGCGCAAAUUACCCAAUCCCGAUACGGGGAGGUAGUGACAAUAAAUACUGAUACAGGGCUCUUUUGGGUCUUGUAAUUGGAAUGAGUACAAUUUAAAUCCCUUAACGAGGAACAAUUGGAGGGCAAGUCUGGUGCCAGCAGCCGCGGUAAUUCCAGCUCCAAUAGCGUAUAUUAAAGUUGUUGUGGUUAAAAAGCUCGUAGUUGAAUCUUGGGCCUGGCUGGCCGGUCCGCCUCACCGCGUGUACUGGUCCGGCCGGGUCUUUCACUCUGCGGAACCACAUGCCCUUCAGUGGGUGUGGCGGGGAAGCAGGACUUUUACUUUGAAAAAAUUAGAGUGCUCUAAGCAGGCCAAUGCUCGAAUACAUUAGCAUGGAAUAAUAAAAUAGGACGCGCGGUUCUAUUUUGUUGGUUUCUAGGACCGCCGUAAUGAUGAAUAGGGACAGUCGGGGGCAUCAGUAUUCAGUUGUCAGAGGUGAAAUUCUUGGAUCUACUGAAGACUAACUACUGCGAAAGCAUUUGCCAAGGAUGUUUUCAUUAAUCAGGAACGAAAGUUAGGGGAUCGAAGACGAUCAGAUACCGUCGUAGUCUUAACCAUAAACUAUGCCGACUAGGGAUCGGACGAUGUUAUUUAGUUGACUCGUUCGGCACCUUACGAAAAAUCAAAGGGCUUGGGCUCCAGGGGGAGUAUGGUCGCAAGG
This 1079-nucleotide ribosomal RNA is filed under the name Metarhizium anisopliae. RNAcentral describes it as "SSU rRNA". It matches the Rfam family "Eukaryotic small subunit ribosomal RNA", at positions 47 to 1136 of the family's 1831-position model. The record is from RNAcentral. Lineage: Eukaryota; Fungi; Ascomycota; Sordariomycetes; Hypocreales; Clavicipitaceae.